CCUACGGGAGGCAGCAGUAGGGAAUCUUCCGCAAUGGACGAAAGUCUGACGGAGCAACGCCGCGUGAACGAUGAAGGCCUUCGGGUCGUAAAGUUCUGUUGUUAGGGAAGAACAAGUGCUAGUUGAAUAAGCUGGCACCUUGACGGUACCUAACCAGAAAGCCACGGCUAACUACGUGCCAGCAGCCGCGGUAAUACGUAGGUGGCAAGCGUUGUCCGGAAUUAUUGGGCGUAAAGCGCGCGCAGGCGGUUUCUUAAGUCUGAUGUGAAAGCCCCCGGCUCAACCGGGGAGGGUCAUUGGAAACUGGGAAACUUGAGUGCAGAAGAGGAAAGUGGAAUUCCAAGUGUAGCGGUGAAAUGCGUAGAGAUUUGGAGGAACACCAGUGGCGAAGGCGACUUUCUGGUCUGUAACUGACGCUGAGGCGCGAAAGCGUGGGGAGCAAACAGGAUUAGAUACCCUGGUAGUCCACGCUGUAAACGAUGAGUGCUAAGUGUUAGAGGGUUUCCGCCCUUUAGUGCUGAAGUUAACGCAUUAAGCACUCCGCCUGGGGAUACGGUCGCAAGACUGAAACUCAAAGGAUUGACGG
This 586-nucleotide ribosomal RNA is filed under the name uncultured bacterium. RNAcentral's name for it is "bacterial SSU rRNA". It matches the Rfam family "Bacterial small subunit ribosomal RNA", at positions 338 to 916 of the family's 1533-position model. The record is from RNAcentral.